GAUGAAGAACGUAGUGAAAUGCGAUAAUUAAUGUGAAUUGCAGAAUUCAGUGAAUCAUCGAGUCUUUGAACGCACAUUGCGCCCCCUGGUAUUCCGGGGGGCAUGCCUGUCCGAGCGUCAUUGCUGCCCUCAAGCACGGCUUGUGUGUUGGGCUUCCGUCCCUGGCAACGGGGACGGGCCCAAAAGGCAGUGGCGGCACCAUGUCUGGUCCUCGAGCGUAUGGGGCUUUGUCACCCGCUCCCGUAGGUCCAGCUGGCAGCUAGCCUCGCAACCAAUCUUUUUAACCAGGUUGACCUCGGAUUAGGUAGGGAUACCCGCUGAACUUAAGCAUAUCAAUAAGCGGAGGA
This 347-nucleotide unclassified non-coding RNA is filed under the name soil metagenome. RNAcentral's name for it is "partial contains 5.8S ribosomal RNA, internal transcribed spacer 2, and large subunit ribosomal RNA". The stretch from base 1 to 120 matches the Rfam family "5.8S ribosomal RNA", at positions 35 to 154 of the family's 154-position model. The record is from RNAcentral.